This 2919-nucleotide ribosomal RNA is filed under the name bioreactor metagenome. RNAcentral describes it as "bacterial LSU rRNA". It matches the Rfam family "Bacterial large subunit ribosomal RNA". The record is from RNAcentral.
UCAAGGAAAUAAGAGCAUAGGGUGGAUGCCCAGGCACCGGGAGCCGAAGAAGGACGUGGUAAGCUGCGAAAAGCCAUGUGGAGCCGCAAACAGGCGAAGAGGCAUGGAUAUCCGAAUGGGGGAACCCGCCACGGGUAAUGCCGUGGCAUCGCAUGGUGAACACAUAGCCAUGACGAAGGGAGACCAGGGGAACUGAACCAUCUAAGUACCCUGAGGAAGAGAAAGAAACAUCGAUUUCCUAAGUAGCGGCGAGCGAAAGGGAAAGAGCCCAAACCGGGUAAAUAGAGAUAUUUGCUCGGGGUUGAGGACCGGCAGAAGAGUUAAGCAGAUAUAGCCGAAGAUGGAAGGGAAGCCACACCACAGAAGGUGACAGUCCUGUAGGCGAAAUAUCGAGAUAACCAGCCGGUAUCCAGAGUACCACGGGACACGAAGAAUCCCGUGGGAAGCAGGGAGGACCACCUCCCAAGGCUAAACACUACCCGGUGACCGAUAGCGGACAGUACCGUGAGGGAACGGUGAAAAGAACCCCGGGAGGGGAGUGAAAGAGAACCUGAAACCCUAUGUUUACAAGCAGUGGAAGAGGUAGAAACACCUCGACCGCGUACUUUUUGUAGAACGGACCGGCGAGUUGCUAAGUGAUGCGAGGUUAAGGGCCGAAAGAGGUCUGGAGCCGUAGGGAAACCGAGUCUUAACAGGGCGGCAAGUAUCACUAAGCAGACCCGAAACCAAGUGACCUAUCCAUGGACAGGGUGAAACGCGAGUAAGAUCGCGCGGAGGCCCGAACCACGUUGUCGUUGAAAAGGCAUGGGAUGAGCUGUGGAUAGCGGAGAAAUUCCAAUCGAACUUGGAGAUAGCUGGUUCUCCCCGAAAUAGCUUUAGGGCUAGCCUUGGCCGAUGGGCCAUGGAGGUAGAGCACUGAAUGGGCUAGGGGCCUAACGGUUACCGAACCCUAUCAAACUCCGAAUGCCAUGGUACUAAGAGGUCAGGAGUCAGACUGCGAGUGCUAAGAUCCGUAGUCGAGAGGGAAACAGCCCAGACCAACCGCUAAGGUCCCCAAAUCCAGAUUAAGUGUAAAAGGAUGUGUAAUUACUCAGACAACCAGGAUGUUGGCUUAGAAGCAGCCACACAUUAAAAGAGUGCGUAACAGCUCACUGGUCAAGUGAAUAUGCGCCGAAAAUGUCCGGGGCUAAAUCUGGUACCGAAGCGAUGGCAGCGCGAAUAGCGCUGGGUAGGGGAGCGAUGUAUGCAGGGAGGAAGCAUAAACCGUAAGGUAAUGUGGACCGCAUACAAGAGAGAAUGCCGGUAUAAGUAGCGAAAGGGUGGUGAGAAUCCACCCCGUCGAAAGCCUAAGGUUUCCUGAGCAAGGCUCGUCCGCUCAGGGUAAGUCGGGACCUAAGCCGAGGCCGAAAGGCGUAGGCGAUGGACAACGGGUUAAGAAUCCCGUACCCCCAAUAGCCGAUAAAAGAGAAGCAGGGACACAGGAGGAUAACAGCAGCGCGCUGAUGGUAGAGCGCGUCCAAAUGCAAAGCCUAGGCAGGCAGGCAAGACCACCUGCCGGUGGUGAAGCAUGAUGGGGAUCGAAAUAAAGUAGAGAAGGCUGCGAAUCCACACUGGCGAGAAAAGCUGCUAUCGAGGCUGGCGGGGCCCGUACCGCAAACCGACACAGGUAGGCGAGGAGAGAAUCCAAAGACGCGCGGGAAAACCCUCGUUAAGGAACUCGGCAAACUGACCCCGUAACCUAGGGAGAAGGGGUACCACGAGAGUGGUCGCAGAGAAAUGGCCCAAGCGACUGUUUAGCAAAAACACAGGUCUCUGCCAAAUCGGAAGAUGAGGUAUAGGGGCUGACGCCUGCCCAAUGCCGGAAGGUUAAGGGGAAACGUCAGCGCGUAAGCGCGAAGCGUAGAACCGAAGCCCCGGUGAAUGGCGGCCGUAACUAUAACGGUCCUAAGGUAGCGAAAUUCCUUGUCGGGCAAGUUCCGACCCGCACGAAAGGCGUAACGACUUGGGCGCUGUCUCAACGAGGGGCCCGGUGAAAUUGAAUUACCAGUGAAGAUGCUGGUUACCUGCGACUGGACAGAAAGACCCCGUAGAGCUUUACUGCAACCUGACAUUGGACUUUGGCACAUGAUGUACAGGAUAGGUGGGAGGCGACGAAGCAUAGGCGCCAGCCUAUGUGGAGCCGACCUUGGGAUACCACCCUUCAUGUACCGAGGUUCUAACCAAUUACCGUAAACCGGAAUUGGGACACUGUCAGGCGGGCAGUUUGACUGGGGCGGUCGCCUCCAAAAAGGUAACGGAGGCGUCCAAAGGUUCCCUCAGGAUGGUUGGGAAUCAUCCAAAGAGUGCAAAGGCAGAAGGGAGCUUAACUGCGAGAGAGACAACUCGAGCAGGGACGAAAGUCGGGCUUAGUGAUCCGGCGGCAUUGCGUGGGCAAGCCGUCGCUCAACGGAUAAAAGCUACCUCGGGGAUAACAGGCUGAUCUCCCCCGAUAGUCCACAUAGACGGGGAGGUUUGGCACCUCGAUGUCGGCUCGUCGCAUCCUGGGGCAGAAGUAUGUUCCAAGGGUUGGGCUGUUCGCCCAUUAAAGCGGCACGCGAGCUGGGUUCAGAACGUCGUGAGACAGUUCGGUCCCUAUCCAUCGCAGGCGCAGGAUAUUUGAGAGGAGCUGUUCCUAGUACGAGAGGACCGGAACGGACAGACCGCUGGUGUAUCAGUUGUACCGCCAGGUGCACCGCUGAGUAGCCAAGUCUGGAGAGGAUAAACGCUGAAAGCAUCUAAGCGUGAAGCCCACCUCAAGAUAAGAUAUCCCAUAGCGAGAGCUAGUAAGACUCCAGAGAGACUAACUGGUAGAUAGGUCAGAGGUGUAAGCGCAGCAAUGCGUUGAGCUGACUGAUACUAAUAAGUCGAGGACUUGAUCCU